CCUACGGGGGGCAGCAGUAGGGAAUCUUUCACAAUGGGCGAAAGCCUGAUGGAGCAACGCCGCGUGCAGGAUGAAGGCCUUCGGGUUGUAAACUGCUUUUAUAAGCGAGAAAUAUGAUGGUAACUUAUGAAUAAGGAUCGGCUAACUACGUGCCAGCAGCCGCGGUCAUACGUAGGAUCCGAGCAUUAUCCGGGGUGACUGGGUGUAAAGAGUUGCGUAGGUGGCAUAAUAAGUUGCUAGUGAAAUCUGGUGGCUCAACCAUUCAGACUAUUAGCUAAACUGUUAAGCUCGAGACCGUUAGGGGUAACUGGAAUUUCUAGUGUAGGAGUGAAAUCCGUAGAUAUUAGAAGGAACACCAAUAGCGUAGGCAGGUUGCUGGGACGGUUCUGACACUAAGGCACGAAAGCGUAGGGAGCAAACGGGAUUAGAUACCCGAGUAGUC
Molecule: ribosomal RNA, 442 nt
Filed under: uncultured bacterium
Lineage: Bacteria
Description: partial 16S ribosomal RNA
Rfam family: Bacterial small subunit ribosomal RNA
Source: RNAcentral